This 751-nucleotide ribosomal RNA is filed under the name Streptomyces sp. Its description in RNAcentral is "bacterial SSU rRNA". It matches the Rfam family "Bacterial small subunit ribosomal RNA", at positions 65 to 832 of the family's 1533-position model. The record is from RNAcentral. Lineage: Bacteria; Bacillati; Actinomycetota; Actinomycetes; Kitasatosporales; Streptomycetaceae.
AACGAUGAACCACUUCGGUGGGGAUUAGUGGCGAACGGGUGAGUAACACGUGGGCAAUCUGCCCUUCACUCUGGGACAAGCCCUGGAAACGGGGUCUAAUACCGGAUACAACCGCUGACCGCAUGGUCGGGCGGUGGAAAGCUCCGGCGGUGAAGGAUGAGCCCGCGGCCUAUCAGCUUGUUGGUGAGGUAAUGGCUCACCAAGGCGACGACGGGUAGCCGGCCUGAGAGGGCGACCGGCCACACUGGGACUGAGACACGGCCCAGACUCCUACGGGAGGCAGCAGUGGGGAAUAUUGCACAAUGGGCGAAAGCCUGAUGCAGCGACGCCGCGUGAGGGAUGACGGCCUUCGGGUUGUAAACCUCUUUCAGCAGGGAAGAAGCGAAAGUGACGGUACCUGCAGAAGAAGCGCCGGCUAACUACGUGCCAGCAGCCGCGGUAAUACGUAGGGCGCAAGCGUUGUCCGGAAUUAUUGGGCGUAAAGAGCUCGUAGGCGGCUUGUCACGUCGGUUGUGAAAGCCCGAGGCUUAACCUCGGGUCUGCAGUCGAUACGGGCAGGCUAGAGUGUGGUAGGGGAGAUCGGAAUUCCUGGUGUAGCGGUGAAAUGCGCAGAUAUCAGGAGGAACACCGGUGGCGAAGGCGGAUCUCUGGGCCAUUACUGACGCUGAGGAGCGAAAGCGUGGGGAGCGAACAGGAUUAGAUACCCUGGUAGUCCACGCCGUAAACGGUGGGAACUAGGUGUUGGCGACAU